UACGGGGGGAGCAAGCGUUGUUCGGAUUUACUGGGCGUAAAGGGCGCGUAGGCGGCCACCGCAAGUCGACUGUGAAAUCUCCGGGCUUAACUCGGAAAGGUCAGCCGAUACUGCGGGGCUAGAGUGCAGAAGGGGCAACUGGAAUUCUCGGUGUAGCGGUGAAAUGCGCAGAUAUCAGGAAGAACACCCGUGGCGAAGGCGGCUCUCUGGGACGGUACUGACGCUGAGACGCGAAAGCGUGGGGAGCGAACAGG
Molecule: ribosomal RNA, 254 nt
Filed under: uncultured bacterium
Lineage: Bacteria
Description: partial 16S ribosomal RNA
Rfam family: Bacterial small subunit ribosomal RNA
Source: RNAcentral